Molecule: ribosomal RNA, 253 nt
Filed under: uncultured bacterium
Lineage: Bacteria
Also listed under: 1 other name
Description: partial 16S ribosomal RNA
Rfam family: Bacterial small subunit ribosomal RNA
Source: RNAcentral
UACGUAGGGUCCGAGCGUUGUCCGGAAUUACUGGGCGUAAAGAGCUCGUAGGUGGUUUGUCGCGUUGUUCGUGAAAACUCACAGCUUAACUGUGGGCGUGCGGGCGAUACGGGCAGACUUGAGUACUGCAGGGGAGACUGGAAUUCCUGGUGUAGCGGUGGAAUGCGCAGAUAUCAGGAGGAACACCGGUGGCGAAGGCGGGUCUCUGGGCAGUAACUGACGCUGAGGAGCGAAAGCGUGGGGAGCGAACAGG